GAAAUAUCCUGCCUGGCAGACGGGUUGGCAGGCAGCCAGCCUCUAUUGAGCUCGUGACGUUCUAAGUACUGAAUAUCACAAUUCUCAAUCAAGAAAUCCCUAUUUUGAAAACCCUAAAUCUAAACACCAUUCUCUGGCCAGGGUUUGGCACAGAAAUGGAAUUCCAACAAGAGCAAGAAAAUAGCAAGAAGAAGAAGAAGACGAGAGAUUUGCCCAACUUGUCGGAAUGCCACUCUUGCGGCUUUCGAUUCGAUUCUUGCACCGGUAAGAACAGACUCCAAACCCUAUACAGUGAAUGGCGUAUUGUCCUCCUCUGUAAAAUUUGCUUUGCUCGCGUCGAGUCCUCCCAACUUUGUUCUUACUGUUUCAAAGGUUCGUCUGAUAAUUGCUUUCAUUGUUGUGAAUGUAAACGCAUUAUACACAAAUCUUGCUUCUUUGAUUAUGCCAGUGUUGCUCCUUGCUCUUUUUCUUCUUCUAAUUUUUCCGUUUGCGUCGAUUGUUGGGUCCCCAAAUCCCUUGCUGCCAAAAGGGCAUCUUUUAGGCCUAGCAAGAGGAAGAAUUCUGCGGUUUUGGGUUUUGGGGAUGGCCGGACUAUGUUGCCUGAGGAUGGGGUUGGGGAUGCCAAUUCUGCUGUGCACAGGAAGAUUGAGGCCGCUGCUAAGGCUAGAGAGUUGGCUGUGGAGAAGGCUUUAGCUGCAAGAAGGGCGGCUGAGUUGGCUACCAGUGCUUCGGAUUCCAUGACUGCCGGAGAUGAUAAUGGCAUUCCUGCUACUGGCAUUGAUGAUGUAGAGUUGGCUUUGCAGUUGCAUCGAGCAAUUAAUAGCUCACCCAGGAUUUUAAGGAAUUUGUGCUCUGUCAAUUCCUGUUGCUUGGCCGUUCGUAAAUCAUUGGAUAGUUCUGGUAAAAGUGUUUCUGACCCUUCCGUUUGUGUUAGGGUUUCAGGUUAUGGUUCUUCAAUAAAUAUGGAUUAUUUGGAAUCUAAUGGAAUUGAUGAUGCUUGGAUUAGACAAAAUGCUAAAAAUUCUAAUGUUGAAGUGCGGCUCAAGGAGGGAGAAGGAAGCUGUUCGGAUAGAGUGAUGAACUCUGAGUCUCAAUCUUGUGGGAAGGGGAAUGGGCCAGUGGUGCCUGCAGAUGAAAGAUUCAAUGGAAAGCCUGCUGGAUACUUGGUAAAGUACAAUAGGAGAGCUCCUGCAGAUGAAAGAUACCAUGGGGAGGCUGAUCGAUAUUUGUUCAAGUAUACUAGGAGAAAAAAUGCAGAAGAAAAACGCCAUGGAAAGCCUGAUCGAUAUUUGUUUAAGUAUAC
Molecule: unclassified non-coding RNA, 1303 nt
Filed under: Hevea brasiliensis (rubber tree)
Lineage: Eukaryota; Viridiplantae; Streptophyta; Magnoliopsida; Malpighiales; Euphorbiaceae
Source: RNAcentral